This is a long non-coding RNA of Chiroxiphia lanceolata (lance-tailed manakin), 3491 nucleotides long. RefSeq lists it as uncharacterized. The transcript is spliced from 3 exons. The record is from RefSeq and is a predicted model, not a curated record. Lineage: Eukaryota; Metazoa; Chordata; Aves; Passeriformes; Pipridae.
CCGUCACCCCCCGCCGGGAACCCCCGCCCCGGGCUGCGCUCCCCGCUCCCGGGGAGCUGCUGCUCACCGCAGGCGGCUGCGGGUGGGAUCACGGGACACCCCAGUCCCUGCUGGGAGCUGCCCAUCCCGAGUGCCCCGGCCCGUGUCCCACACGCAGGCUGCUGCCGGGGGGUGCUGGGCGCUGCCUCGCUCCUGCCUGCCCCCCCCCAAAACGGCCCGGCGGGAAGGAGGGAUGCUCCUGCCGUGGUCCCACACCAUGGCGAAGGGCUCUCCUCCUGCAGCCCCAACGUGCCAUUCUUAAGCGGCCACGGAGAAGGGCACAGCCGGCCGAUGGGAUUUGGCCGGGUCCUCUGUGUGCUUGGACAUCCCUCUGCCUGUCCAGCCUUGCUGCUGGGUACGUGAUCCCAGCCUGUGCUGCAAGCCCCGCUCCCCAUUCCAGCCCAGCGAGGCACCUGCUUUUCUGGCCAAACCAGACUUCAGCAGCCAGGUCGGGAGUCUGGGUGUGAUGAUCAGAGCCUUCCCAGCCCCGGAGAGGUGCUUGCUGCCGAGGAGCUGCUUACUUUGGCCUCAACUGAGAGGCCUCAGCCCAGGGUAAAGAAGCCCCAAACACUGCCCUGUCUGUGCUUCGGGAAGGGGCGUUUGUGGCUGUCCUGUCACGGUGGGAGCAGGCGAAAGAGCUGAAGGUUGUUUUCACCCCAGUGCCUGCCACAGGGGAUUCUCCAAACAGGAUCCCACCUCAUCCAGAUACGUGCAGAGCAGCAGGUAACCCCCACACUCCUGGUGUGCCUUUCGGGAGGGCCUCAGACUGAGCCACAGCACAGUGACAUCUAAAAUGUGCCACCUCCCAGCCCCAAAUCCCUGUACUUCCUCCACAGGGUAGGAGAAGCUGCUCACCCUGUGCAGGUACUCCAUGCUGAGGGGUGAUGCCAGCAGCUUCCAGGACAGGAUGGAGCUGGAGUAAGUUUUAGCUGCCCUACCUAAAAGCCCUUAGCCCCAUCCUUUGCACAGAGCUGUGCGUGCCUCCAUAUGCACAAGUGGGUGCCCACAGGGACAGGGAGUUCUGCCAGCUCCUGUGAUUGCUGGCAUUGCCUUGAUGCCCAGGGCCUGGGAACUUGAGAUUUUAACAAAAUGUCCUUCUCCUAAAGUCAUGGAGUAAAGCUAGGACACACAAGGAAAUCUGGGAGGGCAGUAUGCCACUCCUGGUCCCCUGAGAAGUGCCACAGCCACCGCGGAGGAGGGACACCCAUGGGCACUGGCAGGGCAGUGCUGUGCUCUCGCUGGGAGUGGUGACAGCAGGUUUGGUGUGAUUUGGCCCUGGGGUCUUGUGCAUAUCCGUGAUGCUCUGGGGACCAGGAAGAGCAGGCUGGGCUGGGGCACAAGGCUGCUUCCAUGUGGUCGGGUCCAUCUGGAAACCCCAGUGGAAGGGGGAGAAAGAAUAUAGGUGAGGGGUACUCCUUGUGUCCCUUGAAGUCUUUGCUGUGGGCCACCAAAGUCCCCCUUGGAAUCAGGGAGGGGUGGGAGCCUCCUCUGGUUGGUGACUGGCAGCACCCCUGAGCCAUGCUGGGCGAUGCCAGCCAUGGUGGCAGCAAAGCAAAACCCUCCAGGAGCUGCCACAGCAGCAGCUGUAGUUCCCCAUGGGGUGCUCAGCCAUUGGAUAAGGGGAUCACCCUGGCACUGGCUCCGCACCCUUGGCAGUGCUGACCCAGUGCCAAGACCCCCAGGGUCCAGAGCCCACUUGGUGCCUGGGGGACCCAAAUGCGCUCUGAGGAGGAGCAGCUGCCACUGCUGUGCUGGCCCUGUGUCCCCUGGGAGGGGACAGUGUGUGCUCAGCCACGUGUGAACGCACCGCCCACGGUCCAAAGGGCAGCUGAGUCCUGCCCAGGUGGCCCAGACUUUGUCUGCAGAUGAAUGACUCCUCUGCCUGCAAAACAGGCAGGACCCACCACGGGACCUGCCACGUCACUGUCAGUCCCUGCUGGACAGAGGGGAACAUGUGCUGUGGAGUCAUUGCCCAGGUCAUCUCUUAGCCCUCCUGGGGCUAUGUGGCCAGUGGAGCUCUCUUGGCAGGGACAAGUAGUAGCUAAGGUCAAGGAUGCAAAAGCUGUUUGUGAGCGUCUUAAUUCCCCCUCUGGGUUCCGUGCCAAAACACCUCCCUCACCUCAUGAUUACGUGUUCUCAAGUGCCACUGGCCUCUGGAGAGGCUGUAAGAUGGUGAAUGCUUUGAGCCCCUGUGCUGAAAUGCAGGAAUGAGGAGCUGGAUGCCAUGGCACUACCAGCUUUGGGUAUGCUGAGGACUCGUUGGCUUGGCUGUCCCCUGCUGUUUGCAAAAGGACCCCACUGGGGAUUUGUUUAGUGUCUGCUGGGCUCUGAAUGUUUGAAUACACUGCUAAAGCUUUUUGGAAGGAAGGCUGGAAAAGGUGACAGGCUGGGACUGAAAUAGCUGGGACUGAUCUAGACCUCCACUGGAGAUAUUCGAAUAUCAAACUAUCCCGGGCACUGCGCCCCCACUGCCAGCUUGGGGCUGCCUCCAGGUGUGUCUGAUUCUCUGUGGGGUGGGACCAUCACUUGUGCCGCAGAAAUAGGCUUCAGAAUAACUAAACAGCACAGUCUGCUACAGGUUUGAGCUUGCCUGGGACUGUGAGGAUGCACAUGGAUCCUGCACCUCAUCCUGUCCCUCGGGUAGGGCUCUUCCCCUGUAUCCCUCCCAUGUCGCUCCACAGGGGUGACAUAGCACAGUUAUGGCUCUGGCUUCGUUUCUCUGCCAAGAGAUCCCCCAGCCUCCCCCUCUGACCCUGGAGCUGAACCCUCCCUCUGCAGGAAUGUUUUUCGGGGGGGAGGUUGGCACAAUUCCAGCUGCUGAGUUUUUCCAUGUCCAGAGACUGUCUCCUGCCUUAAAUGGCUCCAUGAUACAGGCUGUGUCUGCUCUCCUGCAAUCACCUAUUUAAGGAUUUUUUGGAUUCAGUCCCCAAUGCAAAGUGGGAUGAUACCAGCCCAGUGCCUUGCAGCUGAGCUGAGCUCCAUGGUGGGAUACUGGAGCAGAUGGGGCUGGUUGCCCUGGGGUACCCUGCAGGGGUGUGCCUGGACAUGGGCAGUCCAGUGCUGCUCCAGCUCUCCCAGGCCUCUUCUUUCCUUGUGUGCAGGUCAGAUUCCCUGGAUCAGGUCUGUGUUCUGGUCCCAGGGAAUCCUGGGCCACCAGCAGUGUGUGAGCCAGGAGGUGCAUCCCCUGUGCAGCGAUGUCCUUGCUGUGGGCAGCCCAUGACACCGAGGGAUGCUCCUGGGCCCCUCCGGCACAGCUCCCGCUCACGGCCUCACCACCCAGCCCCCUGAGCCCUCCUGUCCUCCACAGCAUCUUCCACCACCCAGGAAACCUUCUUGCAAGCUCAGGCUGGACAUUAUGGGAGCACUGGAAGCUCCUGGUGGGGAUGUCACUGGUAUCAGUAUCCAAGCUCCCUGUCCGAGGGCACAACCUGCCCUAUGGAGAGGAUCCUGCC